CCUGGGCUGCCCUGGCUGUCGUUGAACAGCUGGCACAUCUGCCAGCCAGUGCCAGCCAGCCAGCACAUCUGCCAGCCAAGCAAUUCGGGAGUGGAGGGGGUCGCCUCAGCGCUGCAGAGCUGGCACUCCCUGCCUGCCUGUGGCUGGCGAGCAGGACACAGCCAGAGACGGGUUUCUGGUGCUGGCAGGAAGAUACAGCCUCAAGAGGAAAAAAAAAGGCUUUAUGAGAACACAAACAAUUUGGAAUGUGACAGCUAGAAGAAGUCCUCUUUGCUGUCAAUUGAAGCUUGUCUCAUGCACAAUGAACGGGAGAUCUUGGUAAGGAUCCUUCACAUAACAGCCAGAGUUAUGGCUAUGCAAUGUUAUAUGACUAACAGAACUGCACGUGCCAAGUAACUGGCCCGGGUGUAAUUCUCCCUUAGUAGGUAAAAAUAAAAUUGCAGUAGCAAUAUUCUGGGAGUCUAUA
This 466-nucleotide long non-coding RNA is filed under the name Struthio camelus australis. RNAcentral's name for it is "lncRNA (ENSSCUG00000006166.1)". Lineage: Eukaryota; Metazoa; Chordata; Aves; Struthioniformes; Struthionidae. The record is from RNAcentral.